GCAUUUGAAACUGGCAGACUAGAGUACUGUAGAGGGGGGUAGAAUUUCAGGUGUAGCGGUGAAAUGCGUAGAGAUCUGAAGGAAUACCGGUGGCGAAGGCGGCCCCCUGGACAGAUACUGACACUCAGAUGCGAAAGCGUGGGGAGCAAACAGGAUUAGAUACCCUGGUAGUCCACGCCGUAAACGAUGUCUACUUGGAGGUUGUGGGGGCCCGCACAAGCGGUGGAGCAUGUGGUUUAAUUCGAUGCAACGCGAAGAACCUUACCUACUCUUGACAUCCAGAGAACUUUCCAGAGAUGGAUUGGUGCCUUCGGGAACUCUGAGACAGGUGCUGCAUGGCUGUCGUCAGCUCGUGUUGUGAAAUGUUGGGUUAAGUCCCGCAACGAGCGCAACCCUUAUCCUUGUUUGCCAGCGAGUAAUGUCGGGAACUCCAGGGAGACUGCCGGUGAUAA
Molecule: ribosomal RNA, 452 nt
Filed under: Vibrio parahaemolyticus
Lineage: Bacteria; Pseudomonadati; Pseudomonadota; Gammaproteobacteria; Vibrionales; Vibrionaceae
Description: bacterial SSU rRNA
Rfam family: Bacterial small subunit ribosomal RNA
Source: RNAcentral